This 228-nucleotide long non-coding RNA is filed under the name Rattus norvegicus (Norway rat). Its description in RNAcentral is "long non-coding RNA NONRATT019216". Lineage: Eukaryota; Metazoa; Chordata; Mammalia; Rodentia; Muridae. The record is from RNAcentral.
GGGGAAUUAUAUUUAUUAUCUGAAGAUACGGUCCAAUUGGUAUAGCUUUUAAGUGAAAGGGAGGGGGAAGAGAGAUCAUUGGAUGAUGUUCCGAGCAAGUGAGGAGUGUCAUUUUUUUUUUCCCCACACGUCUUCUCCAGCACCAGGUACAUGGAAACGUGAGGGCGGGGGAUCGGCGGACAGGUCCCAGCAAGGCGGUUCGCGACCGGGAGCGGAAGGGCGGCCGCA